RNAcentral lists this ribosomal RNA (253 nucleotides) under uncultured bacterium. RNAcentral's name for it is "partial 16S ribosomal RNA". It matches the Rfam family "Bacterial small subunit ribosomal RNA", at positions 524 to 776 of the family's 1533-position model. The record is from RNAcentral.
UACGUAGGGGGCAAGCGUUGUCCGGAAUUACUGGGCGUAAAGCGCAUGUAGGCGGCGGGGUGUGUCGAACGUGAAAGGCUGCGGCUCAACCGCAGAGCGCCGUUCGAAACUGCCUUUCUUGAGGGCCGAAGAGGAGAGUGGAAUUCCCGGUGUAGCGGUGAAAUGCGUAGAGAUCGGGAGGAACACCCAUGGCGAAGGCAGCUCUCUGGUCGGGCUCUGACGCUGAGAUGCGAAAGCGUGGGGAGCGAACGGG